RNAcentral lists this long non-coding RNA (2019 nucleotides) under Sus scrofa (pig). Its description in RNAcentral is "lncRNA (ENSSSCG00065049879.1)". The record is from RNAcentral. Lineage: Eukaryota; Metazoa; Chordata; Mammalia; Artiodactyla; Suidae.
AGAAUCCUUCAUGACCCAUUCUGAAGAAAGCUUAUGGGAUAACCCUUUGACCAUUCAGGUGGUUUUGCCUGGAAGAUAAUUAGAUAAUUUAAAGGGGACCUACACAGAGAAUGAUCAGUACCUAACGUGUAUGCAUAUGGUUUUCAGUAGUUGAUACUUAGUAAUUCUUUGUUAAAUAAAGAGAUGAUCAAAUGCAGCUUGAUUCAAUCUUUCUGUCCAGAUAGGAGGUAAAAAUGACAUCUGGAUCCCAUUCUCUAGGCCUUGAAGCAGCUCUUCCGUUCAUGUCAAGGUUGUAAUUUUCAUUUUGAUGUUGAGGAAGCUACUUUUAGAAUCAAAACAGAAGAGAGGAGAGCUUAUAACUUUUGAGGGGUGCCUGCUUUCCCCUAUAGCUGGCUAUGGUGUUUUCUAGGAGAAUGUGCUGUCCCUACAUUUUCACAGUCUUCAGCAGUAAAGGUUUUACAUCAAGAAAGUAACAUUUGCCAAGGAGAUUCACUGGUUGUAGAUGUUUUGUGGAGGAUGAGGUCUCUGUGAUACGUUGGCUUGUCUUUACCUGUUCGCUUUGUGAAGUAUGGAAGGUGAUUUGUAACCACUUGGGCUUUUCUGUGCUGAAGAAAAGAAGGAAGGAGAGAGGAAGACAGGGAGGGAGAGAAGGAGGAAAUGAAUUUCAAUGCAUUAAUCCCAGUUUCCAGCUACUUUAAGAACUCAACAAAUUGAGAAAGCACUUUUUCUUUUCUUUUCUUCCCAGGGACUUGAAAAGGGAAACAAGGAGCAAUUAUAAGGUAUUCCUAUCUCAUGAGCCUGUUGGAUUCUCAGGGAAAUGAAUUUACAGAAGGCUGUAGGCCAUCCCUGCAGAAGAGGUGAAAGGUCCUGACUCCUGAGAAGAACCCCACCUCCCUCUCCUGCAUUAGAGGCAGAGCUCCUGUCUAGCGUCCUGGUCUUUCCUGGACCGUUCGAGGACAGCCAGCAUGGUUUCCUGGACUGGAGAAGUCUGACUAGCAAUUUUUCCCAGGCCUACCCACCAGAGUGGACCUACUCUGUGCCUGUAUCCUGCGUCUGCUGCUGUACACACAUUCAUUCACAGAGUUCUCAUACAACUUGCAUGGCUUUGACUGGGGAAUCCAGACAUUGAGGUUUCUCUGAGGACAACUUUAAGUCCCUGCUGUCAUCAUCUUCAUCGCUGAUUUGAGAGAGGGUAAGUACCGCUUCUUUCUGAACUUAUAUUUUCCAAGGCUUGCAUUGGCAUCACUCAAGCUCUUAAUAGUUGUUUCAAAGGAUUUAAAAAUUACCAAAAUAAUUCAGACAUGUUCUAGUUUCUACUUAUGUGUAUAUAUAUCCAAGAGGACUUAAAGGAAAGUGACCACAUCAUAUGGUAGAGUGAAUACAAAAGGCGCUAUAACUAGACUUUGCUUCAAGUCCUAACUUUCUACUUAUAACUGGCUGUGUGACCUUGAGAAAGUUUCUUAACUCCUUCAAUUUCUUCAUCUACAAAAUGAGAAAUUUGGGCUGCAUUCUUCUGAAAUAUUCCCUAAAUUCUUUAAUAAUGUACUCAUAUGGAGAUUGAAAAGCACUGAUUUAAAGCAGUGACUUCCAAAGUCUGCUGGGAAAUCCUUCUGCCUCCAGCACUGGAGAAUGUACGAAAAAUGUACCUCCCCUAGCUAUUUCCCAGAUCUACCAAGUGAGACCCUUGAGGCUGAAGAGCAGAAGUCUGCCUCUAACAAACUCCUCCGAUGAAUUGGUUGCACAGUAAUGGUUGACAGCCAUUGCCCUCACCACUGAGAGUUUUGUUCUGGUCACAUGUAUGUUCAAUUCUGUUAGAUGUGAUAAUCCAGGUGGAAAUUGCCUGGAACAAUCGUGAACUUGUAGUAGAAUUAACAAGGUUGGCAUCUGGUGGCUGUUUUACCCUUUGUUUCUUGGCUCCGAACCUUUCAUCCUCCACUCACCAAUUCAUUGGCCAGGUGUCUUAUGUAGGCUCCUUGGCUCUCCUCCCCUUGGCUGCAACUCAGUGGGGGUAAAAUCCUU